GCGGAUGUAGCUCAGUUGGUAGAGCACGACCUUGCCAAGGUCGGGGUCGCGAGUUCGAGUCUCGUCAUCCGCU
This is a non-coding RNA of Verrucomicrobia bacterium CG1_02_43_26, 73 nucleotides long. Lineage: Bacteria; Pseudomonadati; Verrucomicrobiota. The record is from Rfam.